CCGUAGAGUUUGAUCCUGGCUCAGGAUGAACGCUGGCGGUCUGCUUAACACAUGCAAGUCGAACGGUGUCUUCGGACACAGUGGCGGACGGGUGAGUAACGCGUGAGAAUCUACCUUCAGGUCGGGGAUAACCCCUGGAAACGGGGGCUAAUACCGGAUAGGUCGAAAGAUGAAAGGUUAACUGCCUGAAGAGGGGCUCGCGUCUGAUUAGCUAGUAGGUGUGGUAAGAGCGCACCUAGGCGACGAUCAGUAGCUGGUCUGAGAGGAUGAGCAGCCACACUGGGACUGAGACACGGCCCAGACUCCUACGGGAGGCAGCAGUGGGGAAUUUUCCGCAAUGGGCGAAAGCCUGACGGAGCAAGACCGCGUGGGGGAGGAAGGCCUUUGGGUUGUAAACCCCUUUUGUUAGGGAAGAAAAAAAUGACGGUACCUAACGAAUCAGCCUCGGCUAACUCCGUGCCAGCAGCCGCGGUAAUACGGAGGAGGCAAGCGUUAUCCGGAAUUAUUGGGCGUAAAGCGUCCGUAGGUGGCCCGGCAAGUCUGCUGUCAAAGACCACAGCUCAACUGUGGAAAGGCAGUGGAAACUGCAAGGCUAGAGUGCGGUAGGGGUAGAGGGAAUUCCCAGUGUAGCGGUGAAAUGCGUAGAGAUUGGGAAGAACACCGGUGGCGAAAGCGCUCUACUGGGCCGCAACUGACACUGAUGGACGAAAGCUAGGGGAGCGAAUGGGAUUAGAUACCCCAGUAGUCCUAGCUGUAAACGAUGGAAACUAGGUGUAGCACGUAUCGACCCGUGCUGUAUCGGAGCUAAACGCGUUAAGUUUCAGA
This 825-nucleotide ribosomal RNA is filed under the name Desertifilum sp. Its description in RNAcentral is "bacterial SSU rRNA". It matches the Rfam family "Bacterial small subunit ribosomal RNA", at positions 1 to 871 of the family's 1533-position model. The record is from RNAcentral. Lineage: Bacteria; Bacillati; Cyanobacteriota; Cyanophyceae; Desertifilales; Desertifilaceae.